UUCUUCUGCGAAUUUCGCUGUUAUAAUCCAACACCAUUAAUACAGUUUUUCUCUCCCUUGUUUUCAACGAUUAUGCUAUUGCAUUGCUGAUCCGAGUGUUAUUCUUUCUCUAAAAUUCUCCCUCUUUCUCUCUCCUGAUCUUUACCAUUGAAUUACAGCAGUAUAACCGGUGAGUUUUAAUUCUUCUAUUUAUUCGCCAGAAUCCUUUAUUCUCAUUUUUAAUUUUACUGUUUAGGGUUUCAAUUUGUUCUAUUCUUAAUCAGUUACUUAUAUGUAUUUUGAACUUUUUAGCUUUGUUUCCUGAGUUAUUAUUUUCUUAAUAAAAGACUGUAAAUUGUAUUUGUUUGCUCUUUCGUUUAUGAUUUGAGUUUUGUGGAAUAUGUAUGGUUUGGAUUGAAAUUUUCCGUCUUUAAUUGUGUUUAUGUUAAGUUGAUAGAGGAAUAAAGUUUAUAAAAUUAAAUCAUUUAUCUUAUGGGGAUUAUCUGAGGCAUGUUAAGAUAGCUGUUAGCUUAAUUAGUUUCUGGUUGGGAUGAAUUACGUUACUAUCAUAAUCUGUGUGUUGAUUGGUAUGUUUGUGUAUCUCUUACCACAUAUGAUAUGACUUUCGUUUAGAUUUGCAUUGUCAUAUGUCGACAUUCUAUAAGUUAAUCUGAAUUUGGCAAUUAUAUUAGUUUAAUUUAAUAAAUAAUUAUUCUGCCAUUAGACGGAACUUAAUUUCAACAGUUUUGGGAGUGGGAUGGCAGCUCUAUGAGUUGAAUUUGAG
This 763-nucleotide long non-coding RNA is filed under the name Panax ginseng (ginseng). RNAcentral describes it as "long non-coding RNA (PGIN_LNC014937)". The record is from RNAcentral. Lineage: Eukaryota; Viridiplantae; Streptophyta; Magnoliopsida; Apiales; Araliaceae.